CCAAUAGCGUAUAUUAAAGUUGUUGCAGUUAAAAAGCUCGUAGUUGAACUUCGGGAUCAAUUAGUUGGUCAUGCCUUGGUAUGUACUGAUUUUAUUGGUUCUCACCUUCUAAAGAACUAUAAUGUCAUUUAUUUGAUGUUAUAGGGAAUUAGGACUGUUACCUUGAAAAAAUUAGAGUGUUUAAAGCAGGCUCACGCUUG
This 200-nucleotide ribosomal RNA is filed under the name uncultured Glomus. RNAcentral's name for it is "partial small subunit ribosomal RNA". It matches the Rfam family "Eukaryotic small subunit ribosomal RNA", at positions 591 to 797 of the family's 1831-position model. Lineage: Eukaryota; Fungi; Glomeromycota; Glomeromycetes; Glomerales; Glomeraceae. The record is from RNAcentral.